UCCCCCUUUCGUUUGAUCUCUCAUGCUUUGAAGGUAUUCUACACCAGAAGCUAGGAUAAAAUCUUCUUGAUCUAGGGUUCGACACAGAACUUCGUGUGAAUAUGGGCGUCAGUAUUCUCAUUGGUUCCGGCAUUAUUGCCUAGCGUCACGCUCCGUUGAUUGCUGCGAGAAAGGUGUUCGUGAUCGUUGCAUUGUUCAACAACCCAAACCUCUGAAUCAGGAUCUGGGUGUUCUUCUCUUGGAGUUGGUGCAUUCUCUGAAAAUGGACCUUUUAGAACAAAUGGGAAAGUUCGAUUCCUUGAUUGAAUGUGCGUUUUCUCUGUGGCGAAAGGUUUUCAUUUGUUUUGGUUAUUAGAUUUAUUUAGGAGAAGGGUAUUAUGCAGAGAGAACUUCGAAGCAAACUGUUGAGAUUUUGUAGUGAAGAGGGAAGUCCUUGGAUGCGGAGGUUGAUUCCCUUGAGGCUAAUAUCAAGGACCUUGAAGCAGAGGCUUCGUUUUUCAAUGCCACAGCUUCUCAAGUAGCGGAAGAAACCUAUAUGUACACUGUUUCUGAACUAUCAGAGAGGGAAAAACAUGUAGAAUCCAUUUAUCCUAGUGAAAAGAUUCCUGUUGGUUCUAAAGAAAAACCACCUCAAUCAACUAUGACAUAAAAAACUGAGGUCCUAGAUCUGUUCUUUCGUGUGCCAAAGGUGGAAGGCCUUUGUCUAAGCAAGGCUUCACUUGUUGCGUUGCCAUAGGAGAUUAAGGACUUUUGUUCUUUCCAGGGUUAUCCUCCCCCCUCUCUUUUAGAUGUUUUUGGUUAAAUUAAGGACUUAUUUGUUCUUUUCAGGGUUAUCCUCCCCUUUCUUUUAGAUGUUUUUGGUUAAUCUUUUGGUUUCUGAACUUUGAUCAUUUAGCUUUGGUUGCUUAAAUAAAUGUAAUAUGUAUCGGCUAAUAUGAUAGUCCUUCAGCAUAUUUUAAAAUUUUGGAUUUUUUCCUUGUAAUAUGUAUCGGCUAAUAUGAUGGCGUUGGGGUUGUGGUUUUUGUCCUGC
Vigna unguiculata (cowpea) is the source of this 1030-nucleotide long non-coding RNA. The record is from RefSeq and is a predicted model, not a curated record. Lineage: Eukaryota; Viridiplantae; Streptophyta; Magnoliopsida; Fabales; Fabaceae.